This 489-nucleotide ribosomal RNA is filed under the name uncultured bacterium. RNAcentral describes it as "bacterial SSU rRNA". It matches the Rfam family "Bacterial small subunit ribosomal RNA", at positions 29 to 523 of the family's 1533-position model. The record is from RNAcentral.
AACGAACGCUGGCGGCAGGCCUAACACAUGCAAGUCGAGCGGCAGCGGGCUGUAGCAAUACAGUGCCGGCGAGCGGCGGACGGGUGAGGAAUACAUCGGAAUCUACCUUGUCGUGGGGGGAUAACGUAGGGAAACUUACGCUAAUACCGCAUACGAACUACGGUUGAAAGCGGAGGACCGCAAGGCUUCGCGCGAUUGGAUGAGCCGAUGUCGGAUUAGCUAGUUGGCGGGGUAAUGGCCCACCAAGGCGACGAUCCGUAGCUGGUCUGAGAGGGUGAUCAGCCACACUGGAACUGAGACACGGUCCAGACUCCUACGGGAGGCAGCAGUGGGGAAUAUUGCGCAAUGGGCGAAAGCCUGACGCAGCCACGCCGCGUGAGUGAUGAAGGCCUUCGGGUUGUAAAGCUCUGUCGGGAGGGACGAAAGGAGCAAUCCUUGACGGUACCUCGCAAGAAGCACCGGCUAACUCUGUGCCAGCAGCCGCGGUAA